GACGAACGCUGGCGGCGUGCUUAACACAUGCAAGUCGAGCGGUAAGGCCCUUUCGGGGGUACACGAGCGGCGAACGGGUGAGUAACACGUGGGUGACCUGCCCUCAGCUCUGGGAUAAGCCUGGGAAACUGGGUCUAAUACUGGAUAUGACUCCACGGUGCAUGUCGUGGGGUGGAAAGCCUUGUGCGGCUGAGGAUGGGCCCGCGGCCUAUCAGCUUGUUGGUGGGGUGAGGCCUACCAAGGCGACGACGGGUAGCCGGCCUGAGAGGGCGACCGGCCACACUGGGACUGAGACACGGCCCAGACUCCUACGGGAGGCAGCAGUGGGGAAUCUUGCGCAAUGGGGCGAAAGCCUGACGCAGCGACGCCGCGUGAGGGAUGAC
RNAcentral lists this ribosomal RNA (383 nucleotides) under uncultured bacterium. Its description in RNAcentral is "bacterial SSU rRNA". It matches the Rfam family "Bacterial small subunit ribosomal RNA", at positions 28 to 412 of the family's 1533-position model. The record is from RNAcentral.